UGACGUCACUGCAUUGUCAUUUUGUAUGUCACAUUACUGGAAGAUCAUUUUAACUAUUAUACAGUUAAUUUCAUAUUCCGAAUGAGUAAUAAGAGCUCACCGAGUAAGGCCCCAAUUCUAGAUUUAUCUAGCUUUUGCCCAAGUGCAUUCACCCUAACUUUCGUGGUCGAAGUAGUUGGAAUUGAUGUGUGGCAUGAUUGCAAUGAGGGAUGGCUAGACCUUGGACCAAUUGAUCAAGGCCUCAAGCUGACUUAUCAAUUGUAUCCUGGGCAGAUAUUUGAAGUGGAAAUUGUGAUAUGGCCACAUGUAGCGAAGGUAUAUUACGGAAAUAACUACGACUGGGUUAGAACGUGGCAGUUCUUAGAAAGAAGAUGGCUUACAUUCACAAUUCGCCAUGCGUAUCCAGUACGAGUGAUGGAACUGCGCAACUUCGUGGCAACUGUGGUUCCACAUGCUGGAUUGGGAGUUCUUAGUGCGACUGCUAAAGCCGAGAAGGCUACAGAAGUAUACCUGCCUCCUCUGCGAUUUAAUGAACGUCGUCAGUUCGCUCAAGUUGUGGAGUCAGAGUACCCCAUGAAGAAGUAUAUCGAAGAUAUGAUAUGGUUUCGCGUUGUUGUUUACAUACCGACCUCUUAUAUGGAUGGACUGUUUGAUACUCCGUAUCCAGUACAAGACAUAAGACACCAAGAUGCAGCACUGUUUCAAGUACAAAAUGUCAUCUUAAAUCGUGCAGUAGAAGAAGAAGUGGAAGAAUUGGAGGUUCCUACUGCCCCUGUGAAAAGCUCGAAAUUGAAACUUCCAGUCAAACAAGAGAAGAAGAAGCCUGUAGAAGUUAAAUAUGAAAUCAAGUUGUCUGGGGAUUGGUUAUUAGCCGGAAUAGGCAGAGUGAUACCAUUUCAAGUGGUUGGCGAUCAUCCUUCAGACCAAGGAGAAAUAAUGGUUGUGAUAAGCAGCACCAAUUUGCCCGCGCAAGAUGAUUACCCAGUUUUCUUCGUGAAUUCUUGCAAUCUCACUGAAAUUCCUACGGCACAUUUAAAGAAACACAGAUUUACGCAUAUUUAUACAAGGUGGACUCUCAGUGAAGAAGACCAUUCCUCAGAACGUCAAGCCUUAAACUCAAAAAAACUUAAAACAGAGAUUAAUUUCAAUGAUCAUCAUGCGGUGCCGUUGUCAAAUGUUUUGGCUUCGGAAAUUAUGUCUAUAUUUUUGGAUGAGCCUUUUCGAUUAGAGCUCCGCGGAAUAAGGACUCCACCACCAAUAACUGAAAAGCCGAAAUUUUUUGGUUACGAAAAAGGAGACCGUGAUUUCGGCAUAGGCGUCCCUCCUCCCUUUCCUAACCAGGAUGUGGAUAUUCUCAUCGCGCAGACAAGAAUUGAUGCAAGAGCUUUAACAAAAAUUAAUGGUACUCUCAAUGGAGAGUUUCCAUUGUAUCCCCCUGAAACAUAUUUGGUGCCAUUAGAACGCGAGGGAAUUUGCACGAACGAUAUUAAUGCAGUAAGGGCGAAGGUGCAGCCAAAUUUAGUUAUUCAACCAUCAGUUAUAUUAGAGGCACAGAUGACGUUAGAACUAUCUAUGGGUCUCGUUGGAUGCAAACCUCCGCAAUUAACUCAAAGAUAUUCUCGACUAUUCUGUCUUAUUAGCGAUGCUGCAGCUAUAAUGACUAUAUUACGACAGAUAACAGAAAUAAACGAGAACGUUUUGAUAUCAGGGAGUAGAGAAGGUUUGUUGACAGGAUUCGGAUUGGAUACAGGAGAUACGGUAAUGUUGUACGUAGAAGGUCCAAAGGAGGGACAGAUUCUGCGUGUUUGGGAACGUACGGAAGACUUUCAUCCAAUUGUGAAACCUGUUUUUUCGACUUCAGCCAAGUAUCGGGCCCGUUUGUAUCCCGAACUACUACUUGCUGCUAUGCCAUUUAACAUUUUGAAGAUGUUCGUUCCUCUGUCAGUAUUAUUAGGUUUGACACCGAUUUACGCUCGUCCAUCAUUACCAUUGCCAACUCGUACUGCAGUCCUCAAGAUAGGUCGUUUGGUGGCCAGUAAGUUCCAAUGGGCCCCGAGUCACCAUGAAAUGCCAACAGCCAUGGAACUCAAGAGCUUUAGAUUGGAGCUCUGCGUGGCACCGCGGCCCCCGCCCGUUAUCAUUACAGACACAACACCCAAAAUAAACAACUCACCUUCAUGUGCGUCAAUAGAGAAGAAAUCGCCUACCAUCACCGUUGAAAUUAUAGAUCACAAAUUAUCGGUUUCAAAUUCUGGUGACGGCUUGUAACAGUCAUCAUUCUUGGCCCUGAGAUUGGUGAUCUUAUACUGAGGUGGAUGUUAGAAUUCUUCCAAUUCAGGUCUCUCACUAAAUGGGGAAUUAUUACUGACAAGUACAACUUGUACAUGCCUACAAUCUUGGAUGAUACGACAAACAUCACUUGCUGUUCCAUUCAAAACAUUGUGAUUUCUGAUGCAAUGUGAUUAUGAUAUGUAGAAGACUUUCUGGUAAAAAAUGGGAGGUUAUCAAGUACACAAAAAUUACCUAUCUAUAGAGAUAGAUCCCUCGGACCAACAAAAUAUUCCUUCAGACCAAAGUGUAACGAGGAUCAAUUGGGACAGGAAACUCUAAAAGAAAACACUGAAUUCCCAAGAUACCUGCAAAUUCCUGAGGUUGGAGGGUAAUAAUUGAAAUGAAUCACAAUUUUUUAUUUUCAAUUUUUCUUUUGUAACCAUGUUAUCAUUGUUUGUUAUGUUUAUUUUGCACAGAUUUUUUACCUAUUGUUUAAAUUCAAAAUAAAAUGCA
Molecule: RNA transcript, 2784 nt
Organism: Helicoverpa armigera (cotton bollworm)
Lineage: Eukaryota; Metazoa; Arthropoda; Insecta; Lepidoptera; Noctuidae
Exons: 10
Source: RefSeq, a predicted model, not a curated record